Long non-coding RNA from Rhinolophus ferrumequinum (greater horseshoe bat), 606 nucleotides. RefSeq lists it as uncharacterized. Lineage: Eukaryota; Metazoa; Chordata; Mammalia; Chiroptera; Rhinolophidae. The record is from RefSeq and is a predicted model, not a curated record. The transcript has 4 exons.
CGGUUAUCUGCGAAGAAGGAGCGUCCACUGGGGACCCGAGACCCACUUAAUCAGCGCCCUGAGUAGAGACUCAUUUGAGGCCUCCUGUGAUGGUUGUGGAUAAGGACGCGGCCCCGGUGGCUAUGGAAACCUAGGAAGACAUGAUCCCUGGAGCUGUAGAACAUUUUGUGACUAUGAGAAAGGCCAAGAGAAUUGCACACCUGCCAGCCAGAGAUUGUUGAACGGCUGACCCAAUACCGGCAACCAUCUACCUCCAGAUUUCUUGUUAUACCUUACUCUCCUGUGCAGCUCACAAUGUGGAGAGGUUGUCCAGUGCUGCUCGUCCUCAUGUUCCCUUCACCUUCACUAGACCACAAUCCCGGCACGAGAGGAUGGGUACGUCGUGUGCCUCUGCCUUCCUCACCUGUUCAUAAUUACAACAAACCACCAACACACCAGUAUCGCGAAAAGAAGCUAAUACUAUCAAGGCUGCUCUGAGGGAUAAAUGAAGUAAUGCACGCUGAGCACCUGGAACUCGCACGGCGGCCGACGGUUACCCUUCCUCUUCAUUUCACGUCCGUUGUGUGCUUAGGGUACGGGCUGUGGACUGUAAACAGCCCUGCAUUU